UAGAGAGAGACAUGCGCGCAUAUCAAUAAGCGGAGGAAAAGAAACUAACAAGGAUUCCCUUAGUAACGGCGAGUGAAGCGGGAAGAGCUCAAAUUUGAAAUCUUCAAGGUUUUACCUUGACGAAUUGUAGUUUAAAGAAGUGUUCUCUGCUGAAGUUUUGGUAAAAGUUCUUUGGAAUAGGACAUCAUAGAGGGUGAGAAUCCCGUAUUUGACCAUUAUUUUCAGGCUUUGUGAUACACUUUCAAAGAGUCGGAUUGUUUGGGAAUGCAGUCCAAAAUGGGUGGUAAAUUUCAUCUAAAGCUAAAUAUUGGCGAGAGACCGAUAGCGAACAAGUACCGUGAGGGAAAGAUGAAAAGAACUUUGAAAAGAGAGUUAAACAGUACGUGAAAUUGUCAAAAGGGAAGCGUUUGACACCAGUGUUGUUUUCUCGAAAAUCAAUUAAAAAUGGCUCGAUUUUGUAUUGCUUGAGACCUUAAAAGCUCACUGUACAUUUUUCGUGUCUUUUUUAAUGCACUUUUCGUUUAACAAGUCAACAUCAGUUUCUUUUGUUGUAAAAGGGGUCAUUGGAAGGUGGCUUUCUUUUCGGAGAAAGUGUUUAUAGCCUUUGGCCUCUGCAAUCGAAGAGACUGAGGUCUGCAGCGUAGACUCUUCGGGGUUAGAUACAUUUGUGCUAAGUUAUAGCUUUUUAUAGACAACUUGUUGACUAUAAUUAGUCUUGUAGCUUACUCGCUUAUGCUAUUUUACCUACGCUUAGGAUGUUGAGUCGUAGAGCACGCAG
This 778-nucleotide ribosomal RNA is filed under the name uncultured Neocallimastigales. RNAcentral describes it as "partial large subunit ribosomal RNA". It matches the Rfam family "Eukaryotic large subunit ribosomal RNA", at positions 23 to 626 of the family's 3401-position model. Lineage: Eukaryota; Fungi; Neocallimastigomycota; Neocallimastigomycetes; Neocallimastigales. The record is from RNAcentral.